Molecule: ribosomal RNA, 505 nt
Filed under: uncultured bacterium
Lineage: Bacteria
Description: partial 16S ribosomal RNA
Rfam family: Bacterial small subunit ribosomal RNA
Source: RNAcentral
UGGGGAAUAUUGCACAAUGGGCGAAAGCCUGAUGCAGCAACGCCGCGUGAGGGAUGACGGCCUUCGGGUUGUAAACCUCUUUUAGCAGGGAAGAAGCGAAAGUGACGGUACCUGCAGAAAAAGCGCCGGCUAACUACGUGCCAGCAGCCGCGGUAAUACGUAGGGCGCAAGCGUUAUCCGGAAUUAUUGGGCGUAAAGAGCUCGUAGGCGGUCUGUCGCGUCUGCUGUGAAAACCCGAGGCUCAACCUCGGGCCUGCAGUGGGUACGGGCAGACUAGAGUGCGGUAGGGGAGAUUGGAAUUCCUGGUGUAGCGGUGGAAUGCGCAGAUAUCAGGAGGAACACCGAUGGCGAAGGCAGAUCUCUGGGCCGUAACUGACGCUGAGGAGCGAAAGGGUGGGGAGCAAACAGGCUUAGAUACCCUGGUAGUCCACCCGUAAACNUGGAACUAGUUGUGGGUCCAUUCCACGGAUUCCGUGACGCAGCUAACGCAUUAAGUUCCCCGCCU